UAGUGAUUUGAUUAAAGAGGAAUAAUAAUUUGAUUAUAAGAAGAAUAAUAAUUUGGUUCAAUUCAAUUCAGUUUGAUUCAACUCUUGUUGCUUCUCACUUGCCUUUCUCUCUCCUGUUUAUUGCACACACUAUUCCUCGUUUGUCAUCUCGCCCAUCCAGCAUCCUGACAAUGACACUAGUACGAGGGAAAGACAUUGGAGCAUUUCUAGAGCAAAAGCAAAAGCAAAUGCAAUUACAAUUACAAUUACAAUUUUAUUUUAUUUUUAUUUUUAUUAUUAUUUUAUUUUAUUUUAUUUCGUUUAAUUUAAUUUAAUUUAAUUUAAUUUAAUUCGAUUUUAUUUAUUUUCUUUUAAUUUUUCCUUUGUUUCCUUUUCUUUCACGGCCGCCCUACAAAAUUUUCUUCUUCCUCAUCCAAACAGUCAGACGGCCGAACACAAAACAAGAGCAAAUGCUAGAUGCUCAUGAAAAAGUAAAACUAAACUCGAUUGACUUUUGAGACUAUAUGCACAUCAGCCUUUCCUUUUGUUUGUUUUUUUGUUUUUUUUAUUCUUUUGUUUUGUUUUUCUUCUCUUUACUUUUCUUACCAGCCCUAAAAUUCUGUGGGUUUGUGAUAUCACUAUAUUUCGUUAUACCACUCUUUUAAUGACAUCUGUAUAUCUCGUUAUCUUCAUCUUUUCAGUGACUUCGCUGUACCUCUUUAUAUCCCUUUGCUACUUGUUUAGUUAGUUGGUCUAGUUUUUUGUAGCAUUCGUUAUUAGUAAGAUCCUUUUGUGGCUUUGUUUGUACUUUGCUUUGAAUCGAACGGUUUUUCCUUUUAUUUUUUAUUUUUUAUUUUUUAUUCGCUGGCUAUAUUGCUUCAAACCAUUUCUUACAUUCGAAUGGUUUUUUUGUUUUUUAAGCAUAAAAACAUAUAACAUUCACUCUUUGACUAGAAUUCAAAACAAUUGCCAACAUCUUUUUGAUUUUUCUUCUUUUUCUUUUCCAAUCCAUCAAUGUUUCUAUCAAUGUCUUACAAUUCUCUCUCUAUCCAUCUUUCAUCUCAUCUUUUUCUUCCUCUUAUUACAGACAGACACCUUCUUCGCUCACUCUUUCCUACUCUCUCUCUCUCUCUUCCUUUGGCCGCUCCACGUUUCAUUCCAUUUACCGGCCUUCCUUAUUUCUCGGUAAUGGUUUUUCCGAUCGUCACGGUAUUGCUCUUGUCUCUUUCUUUACCCACCUUGGCGCGCCCUCGGCACUUGACUUGACUUGAUUGCCGACAAAGUCAAGGUGUAACAUAAUGGAUCUGCCCCAUCAAACUUUUUCCUUCCUCCAAUCGUUGGCCUUAAAUUUACUUUUCUUCCAAUAAGCUUUUCAUCUGCGUUUAAACAUUUUUGCUUCGGUUGAUGCAUCUGACGUGCUUGGGUAACACCUUUUGCUCGUUGGAAGAUUUUGCACUUGGUUUUCAAUUUCCGCUAUACUUUUGUUACCGGUCUUUAUCAUACUUGCACUAUACAAUAUUAUCGCAAAUAUUUAACGUCUCGUUGGUUUCGCCGAAGGACCGCCCCGCGGCUGUCUCGGUUCACUCUCCAACAGUACUCCAGACUGUGGUAACGUGUUUGUAUGCAGCGUAGAAGGAUUUGUUUAUAAGAUUUCAAUCUUUUUUCUUUUUCUUUUUUUUUUCUUGGUUUUAGAAUUUUUAUUUUUAUAUAUUUAUUGAUUAAUUGAUUUACUUAUUGAUAGAUUGGUUGGUUCAUUUUUUUUCUUUCAUCUUUUUCCAAUCUAUAUGUAUGUGUAUAUAAAUAUUUUUUAUUUUAUUAUUUAUUUUUUAUUUAUUUAUUUUUUUCAUUUCCCUCUAUUUAUUCACUCCGGAUCACUUCCAUCCUUAUGUUAUUUUAAAAAAAAAUUUUUUUUUUCUUGUUCUAUACUUCUGUUUAUUUUCAUGUCCUUUUCAUUUCGUUCAAUUAAUUUCAUUCCAU
Schizosaccharomyces pombe (fission yeast) is the source of this 1956-nucleotide non-coding RNA. The record is from the annotation of a GenBank genome assembly. NCBI's taxonomy places the organism in Eukaryota, Fungi, Ascomycota, Schizosaccharomycetes, Schizosaccharomycetales, Schizosaccharomycetaceae.